UUGACUGCGAGCGUGACGGCGCGAGCAGGUGCGAAAGCAGGUCAUAGUGAUCCGGUGGUUCUGAAUGGAAGGGCCAUCGCUCAACGGAUAAAAGGUACUCCGGGGAUAACAGGCUGAUACCGCCCAAGAGUUCAUAUCGACGGCGGUGUUUGGCACCUCGAUGUCGGCUCAUCACAUCCUGGGGCUGAAGUAGGUCCCAAGGGUAUGGCUGUUCGCCAUUUAAAGUGGUACGCGAGCUGGGUUUAGAACGUCGUGAGACAGUUCGGUCCCUAUCUGCCGUGGGCGCUGGAGAAUUGAGGGGGGCUGCUCCUAGUACGAGAGGACCGGAGUGGACGCAUCACUGGUGUUCGGGUUGUCAUGCCAAUGGCACUGCCCGGUAGCUAAAUGCGGAAGAGAUAAGUGCUGAAAGCAUCUAAGCACGAAACUUGCCCCGAGAUGAGUUCUCCCUGAGACUUUAAGUCUCCUGAAGGAACGUUAAAGACGAUGACGUUGAUAGGCCGGGUGUGUAAGCGCAGCGAUGCGUUGAGCUAACCGGUACUAAUGAACCGUGAGGCUUAACCUUACAACGCCGAAG
Molecule: ribosomal RNA, 574 nt
Filed under: Klebsiella pneumoniae
Lineage: Bacteria; Pseudomonadati; Pseudomonadota; Gammaproteobacteria; Enterobacterales; Enterobacteriaceae
Description: bacterial LSU rRNA
Rfam family: Bacterial large subunit ribosomal RNA
Source: RNAcentral